Molecule: long non-coding RNA, 452 nt
Filed under: Numida meleagris (helmeted guineafowl)
Lineage: Eukaryota; Metazoa; Chordata; Aves; Galliformes; Numididae
Description: lncRNA (ENSNMEG00000007317.1)
Source: RNAcentral
AUCAGAUAAAAAAUGAACGUUGUACUAAACCAACCUUUAAAUACCUACAAGAAAACAAUAAGAGCAGCCAGAAUUGAUCAAGUUAAAAAAAAAUGAGCCCAGUAUUUUUCUCGUUAAUAGCGCAAGAAGUGGAUGAGGUCAUAAUGACAGGUCAAAUUUAUGAUGCAUCCUUCUAAAAUUCUCCUACUUCCAAGGCACAGUUCAGAGACUUAGGGGUCACUCAUGCUGUUUCUAUGCAUUUAACAUAAUCAAUUGAUUCUGCUUUCAUGAAUGUGCCUCUAUGGAAUGAAUUGCCAGCUGCUUGUGUGAAUACAACUCUGCCACCAGUCACAGCCCAGAUACUUCUUGCCCAAGAAGCCCUCUCAGACCGAGGUACCUCAUGGAGGAAACAACCUAAAGGAAAAGUAGAAAAAUUCUGGCACAGACUGAAAUCCCAGGAAGACUCCAGCUGA